RNAcentral lists this ribosomal RNA (440 nucleotides) under uncultured bacterium. Its description in RNAcentral is "partial 16S ribosomal RNA". It matches the Rfam family "Bacterial small subunit ribosomal RNA", at positions 338 to 795 of the family's 1533-position model. The record is from RNAcentral.
CCUACGGGAGGCAGUAGUGGGGAAUAUUGCACAAUGGGGGAAACCCUGAUGCAGCGACGCCGCGUGAGUGAAGAAGUAUUUCGGUACGUAAAGCUCUAUCAGCAGGGAAGAAAAUGACGGUACCUGACUAAGAAGCCCCGGCUAACUACGUGCCAGCAGCCGCGGUAAUACGUAGGGGGCAAGCGUUAUCCGGAUUUACUGGGUGUAAAGGGAGCGUAGACGGCAGCGCAAGUCUGGAGUGAAAUCCCAUGGCUUAACCAUGGAACUGCUUUGGAAACUGUGCAGCUAGAGUGCAGGAGAGGUAAGCGGAAUUCCUAGUGUAGCGGUGAAAUGCGUAGAUAUUAGGAGGAACACCAGUGGCGAAGGCGGCUUACUGGACUGUAACUGACGUUGAGGCUCGAAAGCGUGGGGAGCAAACAGGAUUAGAUACCCGGGUAGUC